This is a long non-coding RNA of Prinia subflava (tawny-flanked prinia), 831 nucleotides long. RefSeq lists it as uncharacterized. The transcript has 7 exons. The record is from RefSeq and is a predicted model, not a curated record. Lineage: Eukaryota; Metazoa; Chordata; Aves; Passeriformes; Cisticolidae.
CGCACGCACACAGCUCCCGCUCCUUUUGGUCCGGGUGCCCCUGCGGCCGGCGCCUUCACAUGGCUUAGACUGACAGCAGUCUCAAAGUGGAUAUAGCAUUUUUUUAAUAGUCUUUUCAGCGUGAAAAACGGGAUUAAAAUCCUGCCUUUCAGAUAAACCUUAUCCCUGCAAGAGUACUGGUACUUGAAAAAGAGUCCUUGAAUAACCUGCACAGAAGCUGAACCACCACAGAGGUGCUACUUUGGAAAAGCAAGCAGAGGAAGGUGCCAGAAGCAGUGCAGAGGAAACAAUUCUGAAGUUUUCCAUACUCCCCUGAAGUAAGGACAUGGGCUCACUUGGAAGGAGUUUCUAGGGUUUAAGCUGUGCGAAGAGGCGAGAACACGUCAUCUGCAGGACUCUGAAUAAGUUAUGUAUUUCCCACUGGACUUGUGGCCAAAGCCUGCCCAUGAAGGACCAAGCAUGAUGGAACAAGCUACUUCCAGCAAUAUUCCUGGAGUGAGAGACUGGAAGGAAUCAAACUCAAUCAUCAAAAUGAGCAAGCAAAGGGCACGCUUUCAGUGGAUGGCACUGCUGUUUUGCACAUGCUCUGGAACACACCACAUGCCCUCAUGCAGAGCCAUCUGAGCUGCUGUCCCGUGUGGUUUUCCUGGAGUGCAUGUUCUUCAGGAAUUUGUGGUUCUCCUACAGUGCACACCCCACAGAUACAAACACACGAGGGUCUUUUGAAGAACAGCAGUCGCUGCUCAUCAAAGGAAAGAAAAAGAAGCCUUUGCAGAAUCUGAAGAUAUUGGAAUACAUUCUGCAAUUUCCUGGACUUUAUGCUGCCUUUUG